This 404-nucleotide ribosomal RNA is filed under the name uncultured bacterium. RNAcentral describes it as "bacterial SSU rRNA". It matches the Rfam family "Bacterial small subunit ribosomal RNA", at positions 356 to 773 of the family's 1533-position model. The record is from RNAcentral.
GGGGAAUAUUGCGCAAUGGAGAAGAACUCUGACGCAGCAAUACCGCGUGAGCGAAGAAGGUCUUCGGAUCGUAAAGCUCUGUUAUCAGGGAAGAAGAAAAUGACGGUACCUGAUGAGCAAGUCCCGGCUAACUACGUGCCAGCAGCCGCGGUAAUACGUAGGGGACAAGCGUUGUCCGGAAUCACUGGGCGUAAAGGGCGCGCAGGCGGUGAUUUAAGCAGGAUGUGAAAGGCUACGGCUCAACCGUAGACAUGCACCCUGAACUGGGUCACUUGAGUAUUGGAGAGGCAGGCAGAAUUCCUGGUGUAGCGGUGAAAUGCGUAGAUAUCAGGAGGAAUACCGGAGGCGAAGGCGGCCUGCUGGACAAAUACUGACGCUGAGGCGCGAAAGCGUGGGGAGCAAAC